GACGAACGCUGGCGGCGUGCUUAACACAUGCAAGUCGUACGGUAAGGCCCUUUCGGGGGUACACGAGUGGCGAACGGGUGAGUAACACGUGAGUAACCUGCCCACAACUUUGGGAUAACGCUAGGAAACUGGUGCUAAUACUGGAUAUGUGCUCCUGCUGCAUGGUGGGGGUUGGAAAGCUCCGGCGGUUGUGGAUGGACUCGCGGCCUAUCAGCUUGUUGGUGGGGUAGUGGCCUACCAAGACGGCGACGGGUAGCCGGCCUGAGAGGGUGACCGGCCACAUUGGGACUGAGAUAAGGCACAGAUACCUAAGGGAGGCAGAAGGGGGGAAUAUUGCACAAUGGGCGCAAGCCUGAUGCAGCAACGCCGCGGGCGGGAUGACGGCCUUCGGGUUGUAAACCGCUUUCAGCAGGGACGAAGCUUUUUGUGACGGUACCUGCAGAAGAAGCACCGGCUAACUACGUG
This 465-nucleotide ribosomal RNA is filed under the name uncultured bacterium. RNAcentral's name for it is "partial 16S ribosomal RNA". It matches the Rfam family "Bacterial small subunit ribosomal RNA", at positions 28 to 507 of the family's 1533-position model. The record is from RNAcentral.